GACGAACGCUGGCGGCGUGCCUAACACAUGCAAGUCGAACGGAAAGGCCCUGCUUUUGUGGGGUGCUCGAGUGGCGAAGGGGUGAGUAACACGUGAGUAACCUGCCCUUGACUUUGGGAUAACUUCAGGAAACUGGGGCUAAUACCGGAUAGGAGCUCCUGCUGCAUGGGGGUGUUUGGAAAGUUUCGGCGGUGGGGGAUAGACUCGCGGCUUAUCAGCUUGUUGGUGGGGUAGUGGCCUACCCAGGCUUUGACGGGUAGCCGGCCUGGGAGGGUAGCCGGCCACAUUGGGACUGAGAUACGGCCCAGACUCCAACGGGAGGCAACGGUGGAGAAUAUUACACAAUGGGCGGGAGCCUGAUGCGACAACGCCGCGUGCGGGAAGACGGCCUUCGGGUUGUGAACCGCAUUCACCUGUGACGAAGCGUGAGUGACGGUAAUAGGUGAAGAAGCACCGGCUAACUACGUG
Molecule: ribosomal RNA, 468 nt
Filed under: uncultured bacterium
Lineage: Bacteria
Description: partial 16S ribosomal RNA
Rfam family: Bacterial small subunit ribosomal RNA
Source: RNAcentral